This 199-nucleotide long non-coding RNA is filed under the name Gossypium raimondii (Peruvian cotton). RNAcentral describes it as "long non-coding RNA (GRAI_LNC003807)". Lineage: Eukaryota; Viridiplantae; Streptophyta; Magnoliopsida; Malvales; Malvaceae. The record is from RNAcentral.
ACCCUCCUAGUUCUCUCUACUGAUUUGGUUUGUUGUUCAAAAUACCUUUCUUUUGCUGUCGAUUUUCUACUUUCCAUCCCUAUCGAUUCAUUCUUAUUUUUCUAAUUUACUCUUCUCAGUUUCUUUCUUUUUUUUCCCGAAAGCUUUUGUCGAAUAUUGCUAGGUGUGCAGUUGUUAUAUCUUUUGUUUCUUUUUCUUC